UACAUCCUCGAGUUCCCGAGGAUCUGCAACUAAAAUCAUUACUUGACACUUGUCAACUGUCAUGAAUAGACACAGUGACAAUAUAUUUGCCUCUAUUUGGGUAUAUUCGAAUUUUUCAAGUGAAAAAGUGUUGAAGAGCAAUUUUUAUUGCUUAAUUCAUACAAAUAUAUUGGUUAAUGAGGAAGAACAAAUUUUACCCAAAUUCCUAAAUUAUCUGAAAAAGUGAGCAGAAUUUGGCAGAUUGUUUCUAACGAAACUAAUCAUGGAUAUUUUUAAGUCAUUACUUUCAAAACCAACAGAGAAUAAUGAUGUGGCCUAUUGUUAAAGAAUAUGAGCAGGUAUUCAUACAAAUAUGGCGAUAGAGAGCUUGAAUAAAUAUCCGAAAUCUAAUAAAAUAGAAGGAAAAGAAAAUAAGAGUUGACAAGCUAUCAGAUUUGUUGGAAGAAAUAGUUGAUGAAAAGAUGUGGAUGAAAAUUAUGAGAAAUGAAAGACCUAACUCCAACAACUAUCAACAAAAAAUUUCUGUAGAAUCUCAUAAAAAAGCAGAAACAUGAAAGACUUAAUAGAGGAGGUCUGUAUAUGAUGAUAAAUAUUAUAAUACACAAUUUAUAUCAUCAUGUGAUCCAGAUUGUGGUUUAGGAUAUUGUAGUCAUUAUUAAAUAUGCUUGCACAAAUAUAAAUGUGAGUGUUCCACUAAUAGCAUCAAAGUUAUAUUGUGUAAGCAUUUGCAUGCUGUUACUAUGUUCGGACAAAGAAUAAAUUCUGUUUAAGAUGACGACAACAAUUUAGAAAUUAAUGAGCCAUCAACAAGUUAACUAUAAUGAAGAUGGGGGACAUUUUAUAGAUGAAACCAUUUCUAGUUCACAAAAUUUCACAUCUAUAAGCAAUGACACAGAAAAUGAUUUGCUGAAAUGUGUAAAACAAUUGAAGACUCUCAAUGCAGAAGGAAAGAGGAGAUUAUUUGCAACUAUCAAUGGAAAAUUUUCCAAACAUAGGGUCAAUGCCAAGAAGAACUAACAUCUAAGAAGUGAAAAUUGAGAAGCAAAUCUAUUUCCCAAGAAAAAAAUGAAUACAGAGACUACCAGAACUUCAUAGCAAAUAAUUUAGAACAUUGAAAUGAGAUUGACAAAAAAAUCGAGGUAAUAAAUUCUAACUGAACCAGCAUGUUACACAUAUAAGAGACGUACAAUGUUCAAAUGUGGAUAGAAGAACCAGUCAAUAUCAAAAUAAAAUAUGACAUACAUCCUUUACAUAAAUCAAUGAAAUUAAUUAUAAUUAAUAUAAUAUAAUUAUAUAUAAUUUUGAACAA
Long non-coding RNA from Harmonia axyridis, 1309 nucleotides. RefSeq lists it as uncharacterized. The transcript is spliced from 4 exons. Lineage: Eukaryota; Metazoa; Arthropoda; Insecta; Coleoptera; Coccinellidae. The record is from RefSeq and is a predicted model, not a curated record.